CCCUUAGAUGUUCUGGGCCGCACGCGCGCUACACUGACGAAGUCAGCGAGCAUCUCCUACGCCGAAAGGUGCGGGGAAUCUUGUGAAACUUUGUCGUGCUGGGGAUUGAUUUUUGAAAUUCUUGAUCAUAAACGAGGAAUUCCUAGUAAGCGCAAGUCAGCAGCUUGCGUUGAUCACGUCCCUGCCCUUUGUACACACCGCCCGUCGCUACUACCGAUUGAAUGGUUUAGUGAGAUGUUUGGACCGGAACUCUCUUGCUCAGCAAUGGGCGAGAGAGAGUCUGGGAAGUCCCUCUAACUGUAUCAUUUAGAGGAAGUAAAAGUCGUAACA
This 330-nucleotide ribosomal RNA is filed under the name uncultured eukaryote. RNAcentral describes it as "partial 18S ribosomal RNA". It matches the Rfam family "Eukaryotic small subunit ribosomal RNA", at positions 1470 to 1796 of the family's 1831-position model. The record is from RNAcentral.